GACGAACGCUGGCGGUAUGCUUAACACAUGCAAGUCGAACGAGACGAGAUGGAAGGAUCCUUCGGGUGACGGAAAUCUUAGAAAGUGGCGAACGGGUGAGUAACGCGUGGGUAACCUGCCCUAUGGAAAGGAAUAGCCUCGGGAAACUGGGAGUAAUGCCUUAUAAUACAUUGAAGUCGCAUGGCUUUGAUGUUAAACGCUCCGGUGCCAUAGGAUGGACCCGCGUCCCAUUAGCUAGUUGGUGAGAUAACAGCCCACCAAGGCGACGAUGGGUCACCGGUCUGAGAGGGCGAACGGGCACACUGGAACUGAGACACGGUCCAGACUCCUACGGGAGGCAGCAGUGGGGAAUAUUGCGCAAUGGGGGAAACCCUGACGCAGCAAUACCGCGUGAGUGAAGAAGGUUUUCGGAUCGUAAAGCUCUGUUAUUGGGGAAGAAAAAAGACGGUACCCAAGAAGAAAGUCCCGGCUAACUACGUGCCAGCCGCCGCCGUAA
RNAcentral lists this ribosomal RNA (496 nucleotides) under uncultured bacterium. Its description in RNAcentral is "partial 16S ribosomal RNA". It matches the Rfam family "Bacterial small subunit ribosomal RNA", at positions 28 to 523 of the family's 1533-position model. The record is from RNAcentral.